GCCCAAAACAUAACUUUAUGCUCUCUUUUCCUCUCACACACUUCCCCAAUCUCCUAUAAAAUGCACCUGCAUAUUUUCCUCAGUCACUCCCUGCAGCUUCAAGAUAAAAGAAAUGCAGCUAUUUUUCCUUUCCUUAUAUCCUUGCCCUACUUGUUCCGUCCUUAUAAAUAUUUUUGGAUCCUCUCCAGUGUCUAUUUACUGCUAAUAUGACAAUCAGAAUUGUCCUUGAUCCGCUAAGCACAGUCUCUCAGAAGUUUGAUAUGGGUCCUAUGUGGUUUCUCUACUUUUUAAAUUCGAUCUCUCAAAGAAAAGCCCAAUACUGCACUUACUUUCACGUAUGGUCUCAACAUUCCUCUUUUCAAACUGAUUUAUGAAUCUUUAUACAUAUUACUUAGUGCUGCAUCUCUAAAUAAAAUAAAUAUGUAUUUGUAAGUCGAGACUACCUGGUUCCUCACUUUCAUCAGUUCCAAGGAACAUCCUUGCCUAUUUUCUUAUGUGUAACACCCAGCUCUUAGUGAUGUUGCAAGUUAUGGACUUUUAGCGUAAGUGUUGAUGUUACCAGCACCAGAAUAGUGUUGGAGGAGUUACUGAGCCUGAUAUUGCAAGAACCCUCCUUUAACAGAUGCAGCUUAAGUGACAGGAGCACUUUCCAUUAACAGCUAUAUCUCAAUUCAGCUGUUACGCUUGCCAAAAUCCUGCAAAGCAGUGUCCUAAUGACGGUGUUUGAAAAAAGCAAGAAAAGAUAACAAUAGCAAAAAGGAUCACGAUUAAUAGUAAAUAUGAUAUUUGAACAUUAAGCUGCAGAUGGCAAUAUUUUGAGCAUGGCAUUUUUUUUUCCUUCUUUUAAAAGAGCCACAGAUGGUAAUGUUCCUUCUUUAACAAGCUGUACUCAUGCCAGGCCAUAAUGUGGCAUGAUAAUAAACUGAUGAUAUCAUGAUACUUCAUUCCCUGGUGACCCAGCUAACUAUUUCAUAAGGAUGUUUUUUCAAAUAUUUUUUGCUGUUGUGAAAAGUAAAUUAUAUACUAGGAAUCUCCUAUGGCUCGGGGAAUAGAGCAUCUUUCACUCGCUUCUUAUUCGCCUUCCUUGCCUUCUCCUGCAUCAUUUCCCUUCUGCUUUUCUGUCCCUGGGUCUCGCUGGUUUCCUCCCACCCAUCUCCUGCUUCUCCCACUCGCGUUUCAAUUCUUUCCUCUUCUCAUUCAGCUGGUACACGCCUACAGGGGAGAACAAAUCCCAAUGACCACAUGCCGUUUCCACCUGCAACGCCACACAAGAUGCUGGAGGAUCUCAGCGGGCCAGACAGCAUCUAUGGAAGUAUAUUGGGCCGAGUCCCUUCACCUGACUUCCACCGAGAACUGCAAACCCAAUUUGUCCCACAGCCCACCUCAUAAAUUCCUAAUCCUUCCAAUUAUCUAUUUACUCACCUUCUUAGUAAUUCCUCCUUCCCUUUCACUCCAUAUCACUUAUUACCCACACACUCACCUUCCCUCCUGUCUAUCUUUACUUGCCAUACUUAUUUUCCUUGUCAGCAAGGUCAAUAUUUUUCCUACCACAACAGUCCCCUCAUUUCCCUCAAAACUGUGUUGAUUGUAUUACAUUAUCAGACAUCAGUUUAAGAAAAAUAAUCUGGCCUUCAAAAAUACAGUGCCUCAUGUGGAUUUUGGUAUGGUCAGCUGGGCAGGGAUAUGUCGGGGCAGAGUUCUCAAGUUAAAGAUUCAUAGAGUGACACCGCAAGGAAAGAGGACGAUUAACCACAUGCAUGACUACCAAGCAAUGAUCUAAUUUCAACCUGCCUGCAUUUCCACGAACUCCCUGUACAUUUUGUCACUCAGCCACACAGUUGAGUCAACUUUACAGUAACCAAUUACCGAGCACUUCUUUGGGAGGUGGGGGGAGCCUGGAGCAAGUGCAAGCUCCACGCAGCCAGCGCCAAACAUUAAACCGAGGCUGCUGGAGCUGAGGAGCAGCAUCUCUACAGGCUGCACAAUGUGCUGGACAGCACUGUGCAAAAGUCUGAGGAUAUCUGAUUAUCUCAGGCGUCCAGAAACAAUUUUAUCGGAUUUUGACACCAGGAGCUGCCAAAAGGAACUAAGAGCAAUCUGGGGACGGGGCUCCAGGGUCUGCAUUUAUCUCCUGGAGCUCGUUCUACCUACGCGGCUUGCAGCAACUGCCAGUCGCUGGGCACAAGAGAUGGGCAGCAGCAAAAAGGACUUCUAAUUUCAGAGGACAGGAUACCAUUAUGGACAUUGGUCUCCUUGGCCAUCUCAGCUCUUUGUGACUUCCUUUCCUCAUCUGCAGUGCUCUCUGGAUUCCUUCACCACCCGAACUCAACCAGAAGCAGCAACUCUCUCCAAGUAUCGCCAUCAGAAGCACAGUGGCAGAAUCUAAGUCUCCCUAAACCAUCAGAUGAGAUCCUUUACUCGGACAAAGUAAUUCACACAGAUGGUCUAAAAGGUUCUGAAGACAGAGAUUCAAGAUUUUGAGAGAAUGAAAACUACUUCAAUGAUAUUAAUUAAGACCCAUAAUAUCUGGGAAGGACAACUUUACAAUGUAGAAGUGACAGAGCUCUUCAAAUUCUCAGUUAUAUUUCAGCUGAAGAACUGAAAUGGCUUGGACCUACUGGAAACAUGUGAUUUUUGAGGCAAGUCUACAGAAAAUUGAUCUUUUAUCUACGGUGUUGCAGCAAAGUGUGGAAAGAGUCAAGCAGUGCUGGUGGUGAAGUUAAUGUUCCAAUUUCUUCAAUUUGAUGCAUAGAUACUUUGUUGUAAAAUUAUUAAGGAAAAAUUAGCAAGGGGAAAAUAAGCUUGUUUUAACUAGACAGAUUUCAAAAUCAAUUUUAAUUUCGUUUUUGGA
Long non-coding RNA from Mobula hypostoma (lesser devil ray), 2851 nucleotides. RefSeq lists it as uncharacterized. Lineage: Eukaryota; Metazoa; Chordata; Chondrichthyes; Myliobatiformes; Myliobatidae. The record is from RefSeq and is a predicted model, not a curated record. The transcript is spliced from 6 exons.